GACGAACGCUGGCGGCGUGCCUAAUACAUGCAAGUAGAACGCUGAAGGAGGAGCUUGCUUCUCUGGAUGAGUUGCGAACGGGUGAGUAACGCGUAGGUAACCUGCCUGGUAGCGGGGGAUAACUAUUGGAAACGAUAGCUAAUACCGCAUAACAGUAGAUAUCGCAUGAUAGCUGCUUGAAAGGUGCAAUUGCACCACUACCAGAUGGACCUGCGUUGUAUUAGCUAGUUGGUGAGGUAACGGCUCACCAAGGCGACGAUACAUAGCCGACCUGAGAGGGUGAUCGGCCACACUGGGACUGAGACACGGCCCAGACUCCUACGGGAGGCAGCAGUAGGGAAUCUUCGGCAAUGGACGGAAGUCUGACCGAGCAACGCCGCGUGAGUGAAGAAGGUUUUCGGAUCGUAAAGCUCUGUUGUAAGAGAAGAACGAGUGUGAGAGUGGAAAGUUCACACUGUGACGGUAUCUACCA
RNAcentral lists this ribosomal RNA (472 nucleotides) under Streptococcus infantis. Its description in RNAcentral is "bacterial SSU rRNA". It matches the Rfam family "Bacterial small subunit ribosomal RNA", at positions 28 to 485 of the family's 1533-position model. Lineage: Bacteria; Bacillati; Bacillota; Bacilli; Lactobacillales; Streptococcaceae. The record is from RNAcentral.